This 442-nucleotide ribosomal RNA is filed under the name uncultured bacterium. RNAcentral describes it as "partial 16S ribosomal RNA". It matches the Rfam family "Bacterial small subunit ribosomal RNA", at positions 338 to 795 of the family's 1533-position model. The record is from RNAcentral.
CCUACGGGUGGCAGCAGUGGGGAAUAUUGGGCAAUGUGCGCAAGCCUGACCCAGCAACGCCGCGUGAAGGAAGAAGGCUUUCGGGUUGUAAACUUCUUUUAAGCGGGAAGAGCAGAAGACGGUACCUCUUGAAUAAGCCACGGCUAACUACGUGGCAGCAGCCGCGGUAAUACGUAGGUGGCAGGCGUUGUCCGGAUUUACUGGGUGUCAAGGGCGUGUAGCCGGGCUGGCAAGUCAGAUGUGAAAUCCCGUGGCUCAACCACGGAACUGCAUUUGAAACUGUCGGUCUUGAGUAUUGGAGAGGCAGGCGGAAUGCCUAGUGUAGCGGUGAAAUGCGUAGAUAUUAGGAGGAACCCCAGUGGCGAAGGCGGCCUGCUGGACGACAACUGACGGUGAGGCGCGAAAGCGUGGGGAGCAAACAGGAGUAGAUACCCUUGUAGUC